AGUGAACGCUGGCGGCGUGCUUAACACAUGCAAGUCGAGCGAAUUUCGGCAGUGUAUCGCCGGAGUUAGCGGCAGACGGGUGAGUAAUAUUUAAACAAUCUUCCCUCGAGUGGGAAACAACCUGACGAAAGUCGGGCUAAUGUCCCAUAAGACCACAUUCUGGCAUCAGAGAGAGGUCAAAGGUCCGCAAGGGCCGCUGGAGGAGGAGUUUAAAUCCUAUCAUGGAGUUGGUGAGGUAACGACUCACCAAGCCUACGACGGGUAGCCGGCCUGAAAGGGUGAUCGGCCACACUGGCACUGAGACACGGGCCAGACUCCUACGGGAGGCAGCAGUGGGGAAUUUUGGACAAUGGGGGCAACCCUGAUCCAGCGACGCCGCGUGAAGGAUGAAGGUCUUCGGAUCGUAAACUUCUUUUAGAGGGGAUGAAUGAGUUGGUGAAUAGCCAACUGUGACAGUACUCUUUGAAUAAGCCACGGCUAACUACGUGCCAGCAGCCG
Molecule: ribosomal RNA, 498 nt
Filed under: uncultured bacterium
Lineage: Bacteria
Description: bacterial SSU rRNA
Rfam family: Bacterial small subunit ribosomal RNA
Source: RNAcentral